RNAcentral lists this ribosomal RNA (439 nucleotides) under uncultured archaeon. RNAcentral's name for it is "bacterial SSU rRNA". It matches the Rfam family "Archaeal small subunit ribosomal RNA", at positions 19 to 463 of the family's 1478-position model. The record is from RNAcentral.
GGACCUGACUGCUAUCGGAUUGAUACUAAGCCAUGCGAGUCAUUGUAGCAAUACAAGGCAUACGGCUCAGUAACGCGUAGUCAACCUAACCUAUGGACGGGAAUAACCUCGGGAAACUGAGAAUAAUGCCCGAUAGAACAUUAUGCCUGGAAUGGUUUAUGUUCCAAAUGAUUUAUCGCCGUAGGAUGGGACUGCGGCCUAUCAGUUUGUUGGUGAGGUAAUGGCCCACCAAGACUAUUACAGGUACGGGCUCUGAGAGGAGUAGCCCGGAGAUGGGUACUGAGACACGGACCCAGGCCCUAUGGGGCGCAGCAGGCGAGAAAACUUUGCAAUGUGCGAAAGCACGACAAGGUUAAUCCGAGUGGUUUCUGCUAAAGAAACCUUUUGUCAGUCCUAGAAACACUGAUGAAUAAGGGGUGGGCAAGUUCUGGUGUCAGCC